RNAcentral lists this ribosomal RNA (705 nucleotides) under uncultured Neoerysiphe. Its description in RNAcentral is "eukaryotic LSU rRNA". The stretch from base 300 to 453 matches the Rfam family "5.8S ribosomal RNA". Lineage: Eukaryota; Fungi; Ascomycota; Leotiomycetes; Helotiales; Erysiphaceae. The record is from RNAcentral.
UAGGGAGAGUGGCAACACUCACCCAGGGCCGGAAAGUUGGCCAAACUUGGUCAUUUAGAGGAAGUAAAAGUCGUAACAAGGUUUCCGUAGGUGAACCUGCGGAAGGAUCAUUACAGAGCGUGAGGCUCUGCCCGGCUUCCCGCCGCGCGCAGAGUCGACCCUCCACCCGUGUUAACCUAUAUCAUGUUGCUUUGGCGGAUCGAGCCCUCGGCCCACCGGCUUUUGCUGGAGCGUGUCCGCCAAAGACUCAACCUAACUCGUGUAAACAUGCAGUCUAAGGAAAGAUUUUGAAUCAUUAAAACUUUCAACAACGGAUCUCUUGGCUCUGGCAUCGAUGAAGAACGCAGCGAAAUGCGAUAAGUAAUGUGAAUUGCAGAAUUUAGUGAAUCAUCGAAUCUUUGAACGCACAUUGCGCCCCUUGGUAUUCCGAGGGGCAUGCCUGUUCGAGCGUCAUAACACUCCCUCAAGCCUCACGGUUCCGUGUAGCUUGGCGUUGGGGCUCGCCGAUUGGUGGCCCUUAAAAGCAGUGGCAGUGCCGUCGUAAGCUCUACGCGUAGUACAUAAUCUCGCGACAGAGUAGCGGUGGUGUCUUGCCAAAAGCCCAAAUAUAUGACAUGUUGACCUCGAAUCAGGUAGGGAUACCCGCUGAACUUAAGCAUAUCAAUAAGCGGAGGAAAAGAAACCAACAGGGAUUACCUCAGUACG